This 2346-nucleotide unclassified non-coding RNA is filed under the name Leishmania donovani. Its description in RNAcentral is "gene:LdHU3.19.1310(CDS-product:hypothetical_prote in_conserved)". The record is from RNAcentral. Lineage: Eukaryota; Euglenozoa; Kinetoplastea; Trypanosomatida; Trypanosomatidae.
AUGGUCAUGCGCCAACGAAUGGACGCUCAGGACAGCGACGGCGGCGGCGUCUUCGACACCUACGAGAAGCUCCGUCAAGCCAAUUCCGAGAAGCUGCAGACCCUUCUCAGUCGCACCGCCCGCCGCACCACGGCCGCGGGUGGUGCGGCGCGGCAUGUAAAGAAGUCUGCCUCCUUGACAGGGGACUAUCUCGACUUUGAGAAUGACGAGUUCGCUGACAGGUGGAUAAACCUCGGCAUGGGGCUGAUGGUGGCGCUGGCGCUGUUCCUCUUUUAUGUCCUGUGGUUCACGGACUGGGUACGGUGAAGUGGUUCUGUAUAUGCGUGGAGGAUGUGAGGGCUUUUCAGGCCUCCGUGUCCGCUCGUGCCCACGGCAACGACGUGCAGCGAGAGUGUGCGCGUCGGUGCGUCUGGAGGCGAAAACGGAGAAGGACUCGGGGCGACAUCCUCAGCCACGCGAAAGCAAAGUCCUUUCAUUGUGAUCCUUUUCGGCCUCCCCACAGGGAUCGGCCCGAGGCCCUUCUCUCUCCAUCAUGGUGGUGGACCGGCUGAGUGCGCAGCGCAUCAAGACCCCCGGACUACGCCGCGCCUUCUUCGCUGAUGACCUCGCACUCCUCACAUUCUCCACAGCGAAAGAUGUCACGCGAACCACACUACGAUCCGCCCGCUGGAGGGCGGAGCACUGGACACGGGAGCACUUCGUGGAGCUGAGUGCCCCCAGAACGAGGUGCUGCACACUCUUCGGCGCGCGACACCGAAGUCAACUGCACACCUCUCCGCCCUCACGCGAGCAGACCACCUCGCGCAUUUGGCGCGGCAGGUGUGCAGGCCGGAUCACGGUGCCGCCACAAUGCCUCUGCAGCUCUCAUACGGGCAUGCAGGCAGGCAUCCGAUCAGAAGUCGCCGCGAUGCUCUACUGCCACCAUGCACUCGUAGGCACCGCGGCAACAGGCUGCGGCCGCCUUGCUUGCAGCUGUCGCACGGAGUGUGAGGGAGUGGAGCUGGGGCUCGACCUGCUGCGGACACAGCACCAGCGCCGAAGACACAGGCAAUCGAGCGUGGCUGCGCACUCGCUCUCCCUCCUCACGACGCUCCGCACCGGCCUGACAGCGGUGGAGGAUGGCACAUCGCGACGCAUUGGUGGGGGGGCACAGGUGCCGGGUCUGCUGGCCUGUCGCGUUCGCCCCUCACUCCAGCCCGUCUCUGGCCCUUGGGAGCUGGUGCACAACGACGUGGCGGGCACGCUUGCAAAGCCAGCCAUGCCAGGGGCGCCGACGCCGACUGCAUGGAUUGCGGACCCGGCCACCGGUCUCACACGCCAGGCCGACAGCCCCCGCUACGGCACUACACGAUGCGACACGCGCUCCUUGCCGGCGUCUGUCCCACACCGAAGCGCAGGCAGGCGGUGCAGCAGGCGGCACCGCCACCCCUCCCCUGCCUGUGUUCGCUGUGAGGGCGGCAUACCAGGCGCUGUGCCCGGUAUGCUACGCGAGAUUCGCGGGUUGCUCGAAGCCCGAAGCGCAGCGCGCUUCGCGCUGUGGUCUUGCGCGCAGUGAUGCGGCUACGCGCACAUCUGCCUCGCGCUGCAUGCGCUUCCCCUGUCGCGUGUCUAUGGCUGCCCCCCCUCCCCCCUGUGUGCCCCUUCACAACGGCAAGCCGUGAGCUCGCUGUGCGCAGACACACGCUUACGCGCGGGUUCAGGAGAGGGUGGAAUGCCCCUGCCGCCACAGACGCACGCCACGGCCGUCACCCUCGAGGGCAGGACCUUGGACGCGGCAUGCUUUGCAUCGAGGCGUGCUGUCCAUCCGAGUCGCCUGUCUGGCGCCGAUCGCGCAGCACGCAUCCGAGAGGAGGUGCGAGGAAAGGACAAGAAGAGCCGUUUGGUCGCACGGCCCUGAUGCGACGGCAGGACGGCAUGACCCAGACGACGACGAUACAGCCGUAUCCCUGCGAAGGCGGGUGAGCUAUGUUUGUGUGUGGUUGUGUUUGUGUGUGCGAGUGUACUCGUGGACCUGGCUGUGGUGGACUUUCCGGGCACGCAAAAAAAAAAGGAAGCAAAACCAACUGUGGAGGAGUGCGUCCGGAGCGGCUCUUCUCGCUUCCAUCAUCCUUGUUCUCUCCUCCAUUUGGCGCGGCGGUGUCUUUCGCUCUCCUAGGCCCCUCCUCCCUCCCUCCCUCCCUCUUGUGUCUGCCCGCCUGCCCGUGCCCUCAUCACCUUAACGACACCCGCACUCCAGCAUCUACCCACUCGUUGACGGAUAGGCACGCGCCACUCCUGUGCGCGACGCUGAUGUUUGCGCACGCCUCUUCGUCUCUCUCGCCUCGUUUCUACUUUUUCCUCCCUCAG